GUCUGUUUGAUAAUAUUUACAGUCUGGCCUGCCCACUGAAUUUUUAAAGGCCGCGGUAUAAUGACCGUGCGAAGGUAGCAUAAUAAUUAGUCUUUUAAUUGAAGACUGGAAUGAACGGUCGGACAAAAAGUAACCUGUCUCGGAUUUAUAAAUUGAAAUUAACUUUUAAGUGAAAAGGCUUAAAUAAUCUUAAAAGACGACAAGACCCUAUAAAACUUUAUUUAGUUAAGUUUUAUUUUUAAUUUAUAAGUAUAAAAAGAAUAAUACUUAACUAUAUUUCGUUGGGGCGACGAAAGCAUAUAUUUAACUGCUUUAUUUUCAAAACAAUUAUAUUUGGCUAUUAUGACCCUUUUUUAAGAUCUAAAGAAAAAGUUACUUUAGGGAUAACAGCGUUAUUUUUUUUGAGAGUUCAUAUCGACAAAAAAGUUUGCGACCUCGAUGUUGAAUUAAAGUCCCACUAUAGUGCAGUAAUUAUAUAGGUAGGUCUGUUCGACCUUUAAAACUUUACAUGAUUUGAGUUCAAACCGGGUAAG
Molecule: ribosomal RNA, 533 nt
Filed under: Neotrypaea californiensis
Lineage: Eukaryota; Metazoa; Arthropoda; Malacostraca; Decapoda; Callianassidae
Description: partial 16S ribosomal RNA
Rfam family: Bacterial large subunit ribosomal RNA
Source: RNAcentral